CGUCAACCAUAGAACCCGAUUUCAUAAUUGCCACUUGUAAAAACCCUUUUUCUAUUAACCUAAAACCUCUAUCCACUUAUCCCCUUUUCUGCUGAUUCCGAUUUUCCGCAUAGCAGUUGCAUCAAAUCUUCCGCUUUUCUCAGUACAAUCGUCCCCUAAAAUCCCAACUAGAAGCGCCAAUCGAUUCUACGCAAUUUGAUUCGCGAUUGGUGAUUUAUAUGGCCUACUGCGAUGCUCUGAAUUUGUUGUUGGGGGCUGGAAUUUGGUGUGCUGCGUACAUGGCGGUAGCAGUUCUUGCUUCUUGUCGAAUCUUUUACUACGUCUGCGGCGGCUCGCUUUGAUAGCUUUGCGGCGGAGCUGAGAUUUCUAGCCCAGGAACCACUGCAAUGUGUACAGUUCGUUUUUGUUCAAAUUUGACAACUACCCACAAUAUGGAGAAUAUCAGACGUGACGAUUAGGGACUUGGAUACAUAGGAUGACGGCUACGCCUUCAAAUGUUGAUUUACUUGAGACAUGUAACAGUUGCAGGAACUGUUUUUGUAUAAGAAUGUACAAAUUUGUCGCAGUAUACUGCAAAACCAGUUGUCAAUUACGAGUGUUAUAAUGAAAAUGAGCUCUGAGUAUUGGCGAAUCAAAUUAGUUUACUUUUUA
Long non-coding RNA from Pyrus x bretschneideri (Chinese white pear), 651 nucleotides. RefSeq lists it as uncharacterized. The transcript is spliced from 3 exons. The record is from RefSeq and is a predicted model, not a curated record. NCBI's taxonomy places the organism in Eukaryota, Viridiplantae, Streptophyta, Magnoliopsida, Rosales, Rosaceae.